Long non-coding RNA from Aethina tumida (small hive beetle), 476 nucleotides. RefSeq lists it as uncharacterized. Lineage: Eukaryota; Metazoa; Arthropoda; Insecta; Coleoptera; Nitidulidae. The transcript is spliced from 2 exons. The record is from RefSeq and is a predicted model, not a curated record.
CGUACCGAUGUAAUUGAAGGACUUUCCUACAAAAGACAUUAGCUUGUCACAGUACAUACGUUAAAAGAACCGAUAUGAAAGUCUUUGAAAUGCGACUUCAUAGAGAGAUUUAAAACGGUCGUGGACACAAUCUGGCCUGUCAAUCUUGCGAUCGUUCGGCUCGGCUCCCAUUGAAAUGCGAUCUGGCACUUAAAAAUUCUUAUAUAAACGAUGUGGAGAACUUCGCAUGUAAUGGAGAACAACAAGGUGAAAAUGUUAGAGGAGAUUAUUAAUUGACGGUGUUCUAUGAAAUCUUUGUACAAGAAGGAAAUAAAACAAGAACAUGCAACUGUGCUUAGUUUUCUUUAAAGCAUUGUGAGCAUUUUAUUCAAUAUAAAAUAUUUAAUUUGAUUUUAAAAUGUUAAUAACCAAAUCACGAUUUAAAUAUUAAAGCAGUAAAACGAAUCGCAAUAAUUAAUAUAUUUCAAGUGAUUAUA